GCCUCGCCGAGAUAUUAACGGCGCAGGCUUCACUUCUGCUGUUGUGGUGACUGAGGGCUUUCCGGUGACCUCAGCCUAACGCAGGCCGUCUGCGGAGCCGCCUGGUAGUGGCCCCGGAGUCCCACGGUCUCUGUCAUUGGCUGUCAGCCAGCAGGCCUGGCCGCUCCCGUGCGGAGAGACCAUCUCUUCAGGGCAAUGUCCAGGCCGAGCAGCGUCUCCCCGCGGCAGCCGGCUCCUGGCGGUGGCGGAGGCGGCGGCCCCUCGCCGUGUGGUCCUGGGGGCGGCGGCCGGGCCAAGGGACUGAAGGACAUUCGCAUUGAUGAGGAGGUGAAGAUAGCAGUCAAUAUCGCGCUGGAGCGCUUCCGAUACGGGGACCAGAGAGAAAUGGAGUUUCCUUCUUCUUUGACCAGUACUGAAAGAGCCUUUAUUCAUCGACUCAGUCAGUCUCUUGGUUUGGUCUCUAAAAGUAAAGGAAAGGGAGCAAAUAGAUACCUAACUGUGAAGAAGAAAGAUGGAUCAGAAACAGCUCAUGCAAUGAUGACCUGUAAUUUGACUCAUAAUACAAAACAUGCUGUUAGGAGCCUAAUUCAGAGAUUUCCUGUCACCAAUAAAGAGCGUACAGAACUUCUGCCUAAAACAGAAAGAGGAAAUGUGUUUGCAGUUGAAGCUGAAAACCGGGAAAUGAGCAAGACAAGUGGGCGACUCAACAAUGGCAUACCUCAGAUUCCAGUGAAAAGAGGAGAAUCCGAAUUUGAUUCUUUUAGGCAGUCUUUACCAGUGUUUGAGAAACAGGAAGAAAUUGUUAAAAUAAUUAAGGAAAAUAAAGUAGUUUUGAUUGUAGGAGAAACUGGGUCUGGAAAGACCACACAGAUUCCUCAGUUCCUUUUAGAUGAUUGCUUUAAAAAUGGUAUCCCCUGCCGUAUAUUUUGUACUCAACCAAGACGAUUGGCAGCUAUCGCUGUGGCUGAAAGAGUUGCCGCAGAGAGAAGGGAAAGGAUUGGUCAAACAAUUGGUUAUCAGAUCCGAUUAGAAAGCAGGGUUUCUCCAAAGACACUUCUGACAUUUUGUACUAAUGGGGUAUUGCUUCGUACAUUGAUGGCAGGAGAUAGUACGUUGUCGACUGUGACACAUGUUAUCGUGGAUGAAGUGCAUGAAAGGGAUCGAUUUAGUGAUUUCUUACUUACAAAGUUAAGAGAUUUGUUGCAAAAGCACCCAACUUUGAAACUAAUUCUUUCUAGUGCUGCCUUGGAUGUAAAUCUCUUCAUAAGAUAUUUUGGAAGUUGUCCAGUGAUAUAUAUACAGGGAAGACCAUUUGAAGUAAAAGAAAUGUUUCUGGAAGAUAUUUUAAGAACAACUGGAUAUACAAACAAAGAAAUGUUAAAAUACAAAAAGGAAAAACAGCAAGAAGAGAAACAACAAACCACACUUACAGAAUGGUACUCAGCUCAAGAAAAUAGUUUCAAGCCUGGAUCUCAGAGGCAGAGAACUGUUCUAAAUGUGACUGAUGAGUAUGACUUACUGGAUGAUGGUGGUGAUGCUGUCUUCAGUCAGCUGACUGAAAAAGAUGUGAAUUGCCUUGAACCAUGGUUAGUAAAGGAAAUGGAUGCUUGCCUUUCUGAUAUAUGGCUACAUAAAGAUAUUGAUGCCUUUGCUCAGGUCUUUCAUCUCAUUUUAACUGAAAAUGUUAGUGUUGAUUACAGACAUAGUGAAACCAGUGCAACAGCUCUGAUGGUUGCUGCAGGACGUGGCUUUGCAAGUCAAGUAGAACAGUUAAUCAGUAUGGGAGCCAAUGUCCAUAGUAAAGCAUCAAAUGGCUGGAUGGCAUUGGAUUGGGCUAAACACUUUGGGCAGACUGAAAUUGUGGAUCUUCUGGAAUCUUACAGUGCUUCACUGGAAUUUGGAAAUCUGGAUGAAAGUUCUCUGGUUCAAACAAAUGGAAGUGACCUCAGUGCUGAAGACAGAGAGCUCCUGAAAGCUUAUCAUCAUAGUUUCGAUGAUGAAAAAGUAGACUUGGAUUUGAUCAUGCAUCUUCUAUACAAUAUCUGCCAUAGUUGUGAUGCUGGUGCAGUACUAAUUUUUCUGCCUGGAUAUGACGAAAUUGUUGGACUGAGAGAUCGCAUCCUGUUUGAUGACAAGCGGUUUGCUGACAAUACACAUAGAUAUCAAGUCUUUAUGCUUCAUUCAAAUAUGCAAACAUCCGAUCAAAAGAAAGUAUUAAAAAACCCACCUGCAGGUGUUCGAAAAAUAAUUCUUUCCACCAAUAUUGCUGAAACCAGCAUCACAGUCAAUGAUGUUGUCUUUGUUAUUGAUUCUGGUAAGGUGAAAGAGAAAUCCUUUGAUGCUCUGAAUUUUGUUACAAUGUUAAAAAUGGUAUGGAUUUCCAAAGCUAGUGCCAUACAGCGGAAAGGCAGGGCAGGGCGAUGUAGACCUGGAAUUUGUUUUCGUCUGUUCAGUAGACUCCGAUUCCAGAAUAUGUUGGAAUUUCAGACUCCGGAACUUUUGAGAAUGCCAUUACAGGAACUUUGCUUACAUACCAAGCUGUUAGCCCCAGUUAAUUGUCCCGUUGCUGAUUUUCUUAUGAAAGCUCCUGAACCUCCACCAGCUUUAAUUGUAAGAAAUGCUGUACAAAUGCUUAAGACAAUAGAUGCAAUGGAUACAUGGGAAGAUCUGACUGAACUUGGGUAUCAUUUGGCUGACUUGCCAGUAGAACCACAUCUUGGUAAAAUGGUCUUGUGUGCUGUUGUUUUAAAGUGUCUGGACCCCAUCCUUACAAUUGCUUGCACGCUAGCUUAUCGAGAUCCUUUUGUACUACCUACUCAGGCCUCUCAAAAACGUGCAGCUAUGCUUUGCAGGAAACGUUUUACUGCAGGAGCUUUCAGUGACCAUAUGGCACUUCUCAGAGCAUUCCAGGCCUGGCAAAAAGCACGAAGUGAUGGGUGGGAGCGAGCCUUUUGUGAAAAGAAUUUUCUUUCACAGGCUACUAUGGAAAUAAUCAUAGGCAUGAGAACACAGUUGCUUGGUCAACUUAGAGCAUCAGGUUUUGUUAGAGCACGAGGUGGUGGUGACAUUCGAGAUGUUAACACAAACUCUGAGAAUUGGGCUGUCGUUAAAGCUGCAUUGGUGGCAGGCAUGUAUCCUAAUUUAGUCCACGUGGACAGAGAGAAUCUAGUGUUGACAGGGCCAAAGGAGAAAAAAGUACGAUUUCAUCCUGCUUCAGUUCUCAGUCAGCCUCAAUAUAAAAAGAUUCCUCCAGCCAAUGGUCAAGCUGCAGCAAUUAAGGCACUGCCCACAGAUUGGCUUAUUUAUGAUGAAAUGACCAGAGCCCAUAGAAUAGCUAAUAUUAGAUGUUGUUCAGCAGUGACGCCUGUCACUAUAUUGGUAUUCUGUGGACCAGCUAGAUUGGCAAGUAAUGCUCUUCAGGAACCUUCAUCCUUUAGAGUGGAUGGCAUUCCCAAUGACAGUAGUGAUAGUGAAAUGGAGGACAAAACUACAGCUAAUUUGGCAGCCUUGAAACUUGAUGAGUGGCUCCAUUUCAAACUGGAGCCAGAGGCAGCUAGUUUAUUGCUGCAGCUCAGACAGAAGUGGCAUAGCUUAUUUUUACGCCGAAUGAGAGCUCCAUCCAAACCUUGGUCUCAAGUUGAUGAAGCUACCAUAAGAGCAAUUAUAGCUGUUUUAAGCACUGAAGAACAGUCUGCAGGUUUACAACAACCAUCUGGGAUUGGCCAAAGGCCAAGGCCUAUGUCUUCAGAAGAGCUUCCUUUGGCUUCAUCUUGGAGGUCAAAUAAUAGUAGGAAAAGUUCAGCAGAUACUGAAUUUUCUGAUGAGUGUACUACUGCAGAAAGAGUACUGAUGAAAUCUCCAUCUCCAGCAUUACACCCACCUCAGAAGUACAAAGAUAGAGGAAUUUUACAUCCUAAACGAGGCACUGAGGACCGAUCAGAUCAGUCUUCGGUGAAAUCUACAGACAGCAGUAGUUACCCAAGUCCUUGUGCUAGUCCUUCUCCUCCAUCCUCAGGAAAGGGCUCAAAAUCUCCUUCACCAAGACCAAACAUGCCUGUUCGAUACUUCAUAAUGAAGAGUAGCAAUUUGAGAAACCUUGAAAUUUCUCAACAGAAGGGUAUCUGGUCUACAACUCCUAGUAAUGAACGGAAGCUAAAUCGAGCCUUUUGGGAAAGCAGCAUGGUUUACUUGGUAUUUUCUGUUCAAGGAUCUGGACAUUUCCAGGGAUUUUCUAGGAUGUCUUCUGAGAUUGGAAGGGAAAAGAGUCAGGACUGGGGCUCUGCUGGACUAGGAGGAGUAUUUAAGGUGGAGUGGAUACGAAAAGAAAGCCUUCCCUUUCAGUUUGCACACCAUUUACUCAAUCCAUGGAAUGACAACAAGAAAGUGCAGAUAAGCAGGGAUGGGCAGGUAGAAACAGUUCCAGAAGGACUCCAUGGGAAUCUGUUGCCAUUUUGUCACAAAAGUUGAGAGAUUUUGCAGAUUAACUGUAAUCUUAAAUCUGGAAGUCAACUCCAUAAACCUUAAAGCAAAGAAUUAGAACAAUUCAUACCAUGUGAUUUUAGCAUAUGCUGGAACUAGAACCUCAGGUUGGUGAACAGUUGCUCCAGUUAUGGGAACGUCUUCCCUUGGGAGAAAAAAACACAACUGAUUGACACUCAGGUUAUACCAUCUUGACUUUGAGUAUUGGCAGUAUUUGUGAUCAUUAGGAACCUUUCAGAUUAUUUAUCUUUUUUUUUCCCCUUUCUUCUAGAACUCUUAGCUGUGGAAGAACAUCAUGCCUAUUUAUAACCACUGAAUGCACUGACUUUCAAAAACUGAGAUGGGGUGUGUGUUACGAAUGGGCUUUUUAACACUUUUAGAGUGUUGCUUUAGAACUACCAUCUUCAUAUACAGGAGAAAGGAAUCAUUUAAAUUUUUACAGUGAUCAUAGAGAAUGAUUAUAUGAUGUUUGUAAUGAAUAAAAUAGUUUCAUUAUUUGGCACAAUAGCAGUUUAUUUUAAACAAACUUAAUUUGAAGUUAAACAUUUCAUUUUUAAAAACACUGAAUUACAGUUCUUAUUGAUGACUUUUUAAUGCAGAGUAAGUUGUUUAAGAAAGGCCUGAAUAUAUCAGAACAUCUGAGCACAAUUUUAGAAGAGUCAACUCUUAAGAUUAUCAUUAGAAAACAAAUACAUCAACACCUGUGAAAAGAAGCGGGGAAAACAACAACAAGGACAACAAAAAACCAAUGAAAUUCUACAAAUGUCCCUUUUAAAAAUAGUAUGUGCGAAGGGCUAUUCAUUCUGCCAUUUUUAACUUGUGACACAUUAAGAAAAAAGUUGGAUGUUCUUUUUCUGUGAUUAUGAAAUGCAAUAAAAUCUGAAUAAAGGGCAAAGUUUCUUCCUGAUCAGAUUAGAUCAAGUGCUUAGUUUUAUUCCUUAUUCUGCCCCUUUUAACCUGAUGUGUACCUUACUCUUUCCUCCCUCUCUUCCUCCCUUCCUCCUCUCCCCACUCCUUUCCUGCAUUUCUCCCUCCCUCCCUCGUCACAUCUCUUAUAUGAGCACAGUAAUUAUGACCUUUUUGUUUUGGCUACAACUUGAUUGAAACAAGUUCAAAAUUUAAACAAGUUCAUACAAGUUUUUAAAAAUUCUCAACUGGUAGCUUGCUUGCUGUCCAUCUUCCAAACUAAAGCCUGCAAGCACCACAAUUCUAAGUGCUGCCUUCCAUUUUUUUUCAGUAUGUUUUCACUGGCUUAUGUUUUCAGAUAUGAUUUUCAUUUUUCGCAUAUAUGGUUUAAUAAAUGGGGGAUAAUUUUUUUUUUUUUGUAAACCCGUGCUUGUGCCAAGUCUCAUAUUUCUUUGCCAUCUCAGAAUUAUUUAUCUUUUUACCACCACUGUUUAUAAAAUUUCCUUAGAGACUUUUUGAAGGAAAAUAGAGCAACAGGGAAAAAUGAAAGAAAUGUCUUGGUUACUGAGCUCUAAAUAGACAGGUUUCAUAGCACUUCUCAUGAUACAUUUUAGUUAUAAAAGCAAACAAGCAAACAUGAGUGUAAAUUAAAGACAAAAAGAAAACUCUGGUUUUAUAUUUGAGAACAGGUGAAAAAUCAUGGGUCAACAUAAAAUCUUGACAACCUUCUACUUUCUCUGGGAGAGCAUUAUAUAGUGGUGCAUUAGUUUAGAAAGUCAGCUAUGAUUUUGCCUAUAGUUCUAGUUAUUUGCUUUGGGGUUUUAUUGUACUUUAAGACAUACCUGUAAAUUGAAUCUAUGUGAAUUAUAUUCCACUGUAUGUGUAUUAUAGUUCUUUUCCUAUUAGAGCAACUUGUGUUUCCCUGAUAAUGUGUACAUUUUUUGGGUAUGUACUUAAUAGUUCACAAUGUUCUAAAUUUGGAAGGACUUAAAAAAAAACUUGUUUUAAUUUCCAUCUGUUUUGUAAUAUCUAGCUCUAUAUGUAAAUGAUGGGUUUGUUGGUAUUUAAAAUGAAUACAACUUGAAUGUAAUUAAAAUGCUGUUUUUGGAAGUGAUAAACUUUAUACUUAUUAAAAUGGAAUUCUAUUAAGUUA
This is an RNA transcript of Pongo pygmaeus (Bornean orangutan), 6538 nucleotides long. It is a transcript of the gene named YTH N6-methyladenosine RNA binding protein C2, with no coding region annotated. The transcript is spliced from 30 exons. Lineage: Eukaryota; Metazoa; Chordata; Mammalia; Primates; Hominidae. The record is from RefSeq and is a predicted model, not a curated record.